This 1401-nucleotide long non-coding RNA is filed under the name Anas platyrhynchos (mallard). Its description in RNAcentral is "lncRNA (ENSAPLG00020003359.1)". Lineage: Eukaryota; Metazoa; Chordata; Aves; Anseriformes; Anatidae. The record is from RNAcentral.
AUGGCUACGAUACAUAAGCCAAGGUCAUUGUUUGUUAUGAUUGUAGCUGUGCUGAGCCUUUUUUUUUUUUUUUUUUUUUUUUAAACCAACAGCUGUUGCGUAUCAGUGAAAUUAAAUCGUUUCAGGCAGAUAUAAAAUAUAGGAUUAUUCUAAUUCAGACAAAUGACAGGAACGAGAACACUGGGACAAAGGACUUGCUUAUACAAGAUAUGGGACCACAUUUUCCAGAUAGUAGAAUUCACUAAAACAAACAAAAGACAUUUUUUCAUACUUCCAAGGUUUACUGGUGCAGCAAUAGUAAGAAUAGUGUCUGAACAGGAAACACUCACAAAAGCAUCAGUGUCCCCACCUUUGCAGCCUACUGAAGUGUCCUCAACUCUUUUAUGCACUCAUCUAUAAAAUUGAAAAACUUCUUCCUCUACGUAAUUGUUAAGAAAGAAACACAAGCUUUGUUUUCAAACUCCAUCCCCUUUUUUGAUGGAUUAUGUCACCAAAUUUGUUGUGAAUUCAAGUAAGACAUCAGAGAUGCAGUGAGCUAGAAAACGGAUGUUGGCCAUCAGACUUUGCUAGGCAGAAAGGAAAAACAUUUUUUUAAAAAGAAGCAUACAAAACAAAACAAAACAACACAAUUAGGAAGAAAAAAGAUUCGACUAGAACCAAGAAAUACGAACCAAAAUGUUCUUGAAGUGAACUGGUGCCACUGCUUGACAGGACUAACUGACUGAAUUUAAGAGAUUGGACUGUGCGCUUAGUCACAUGGUCUGAACUUUUGGGUAGACCUGUGCGGUGUCAAGAGUUGGACUUGAUGAUCCUUAAGGGUCCCUUCCAACUCAGGAUAUUCUAUGAUUCUAUGAUUCUAUGAAGUGAAUGCUGCAAAUGUUAGCUGAAUGAUUUUUAACUACUAAGGAAGGUGCUUUUUGGUGUGUGUGGGGAUGGACGGAUGGACAAUGAUGACACCGUCGCCUAGCUCUCCCGCUACUCUGUAAGCUAUUACCUUCAAGAAUAAGGAAAAUAAAACUGAACGAUGAGUUGGCCGGUCUGUUAAUUUCUGUCUUACGGGGGAAGCAGGAGGAUUUUGUGUAACUGAGGUUCAGCCUCAGCAGUAACUUAAUGGAUUAUCCAGACACCUACACCCGACUGAGGUUAAAGGAAAGGUCAGAAAGGUUGCAUUUUUAAAAAAAAUUGAAGCACGGGUACGCUUUUAGGGAAAGAACACCUCUGGAGAGAGCGGGGGGCAGGGCCGGCAGCACAGGACGCAGCCGGGACGCUACCGGCACCGAGCUGCGCCGGGGGCAGCGCGCUGGGUGAGCGGCUUCACAGCGCCCAUCUCCCACCCCCGUGCCAGCCCCACACCCUCCCACACCCUCCCGCCUUCACCGAGCCGCGGGAGACCGAGAGGAG